RNAcentral lists this ribosomal RNA (253 nucleotides) under uncultured bacterium. Its description in RNAcentral is "partial 16S ribosomal RNA". It matches the Rfam family "Bacterial small subunit ribosomal RNA", at positions 524 to 776 of the family's 1533-position model. The record is from RNAcentral.
UACGGAGGGUGCAAGCGUUGUCCGGAUUUAUUGGGUUUAAAGGGUGCGUAGGUGGCCUUAUAAGUCAGCGGUGAAAGUCUGCAGCUUAACUGUAGAACUGCCAUUGAUACUGUAAGGCUUGAGUACUGAUGAGGUAGGCGGAAUUGACGGUGUAGCGGUGAAAUGCUUAGAUAUCGCCAAGAACACCGAUAGCGAAGGCAGCUUACUGGGCUGUAACUGACGCUGAGGCACGAAAGUGUGGGGAUCAAACAGG